Chelonoidis abingdonii (Abingdon island giant tortoise) is the source of this 97-nucleotide unclassified non-coding RNA. NCBI's taxonomy places the organism in Eukaryota, Metazoa, Chordata, Testudines, Testudinidae. The record is from Ensembl.
CCACAGACCAGGUACAGCAUGGGUAGUGGCUCUGCACAUUUAUCCCUUCCAUUCCACCCCUGUGCCUCGUCCCUGAGCUGGUGGGGUCCCUCUAGAG